GUCCACGCCGUAAACGAUGAAUGCCAGCCGUUAGUGGGUUUACUCACUAGUGGCGCAGCUAACGCUUUAAGCAUUCCGCCUGGGGAGUACGGUCGCAAGAUUAAAACUCAAAGGAAUUGACGGGGGCCCGCACAAGCGGUGGAGCAUGUGGUUUAAUUCGACGCAACGCGCAGAACCUUACCAGCCCUUGACAUGUCCGGGACCGGUCGCAGAGAUGUGACCCUCUCUUCGGAGUCCGGAACACAGGUGCUGCAUGGCUGUCGU
This 264-nucleotide ribosomal RNA is filed under the name uncultured bacterium. Its description in RNAcentral is "partial 16S ribosomal RNA". It matches the Rfam family "Bacterial small subunit ribosomal RNA", at positions 793 to 1055 of the family's 1533-position model. The record is from RNAcentral.